This 497-nucleotide ribosomal RNA is filed under the name uncultured bacterium. RNAcentral describes it as "partial 16S ribosomal RNA". It matches the Rfam family "Bacterial small subunit ribosomal RNA", at positions 28 to 507 of the family's 1533-position model. The record is from RNAcentral.
GACGAACGCUGGCGGCGUGCCUAAUACAUGCAAGUAGAACGCUGAAGAGAGGAGCUUGCUCUUCUUGGCUGAGUUGCGAACGGGUGAGUAACGCGUAGGUAACCUGCCUGGUAGCGGGGGAUAACUAUUGGAAACGAUAGCUAAUACCGCAUAAAAUGGAUUAUCGCAUGAUAAUCCAUUGAAAGGUGCAAAUGCCUCACUACCAGAUGGACCUUCGUUGUAUUAGCUAGUUGGUGGGGUAACGGCUCACCAAGGCGACGAUACAUAGCCGACCGGAGAGGGUGAUAGUCCAUGCUGAGAAUGAGACACGGCCCAGACUCAUACAGGAGGCAGCAGUAGGGAAUCUUCGGAGAUGGACGGAAGUCUGACCGAGAAACGCCGAGUGAGUGAAGAAGAUCUUCGGAUCGUAGAGCUCUGUUGUAAGAGAAGAACGAGUGUGAGGGUGGAAAGUUCACACUGUGACGGUAUCUUACCAGAAAGGGACGGCUAACUACGUG